This is a long non-coding RNA of Salvia splendens (bonfire salvia), 2228 nucleotides long. RefSeq lists it as uncharacterized. Lineage: Eukaryota; Viridiplantae; Streptophyta; Magnoliopsida; Lamiales; Lamiaceae. The transcript has 3 exons. The record is from RefSeq and is a predicted model, not a curated record.
AUCCUCUAUUCCUUGGCCCAAUCACAAUUUUAGAAUAGAAUGGCCCAUAUUCAUAAUUUGCUCAUUGGCCCAACUUACCAAUUUAAUUGGGGCCCAAAACCAUUAAUUAAAUUGGAGCCAACCCCCUUCCAUCGUUAUCUCUCUCCUCUCACAUUUCUAUCUCCCAAUUCCAAAUUUGGGACUCUCAAAAUCGAUCGAGCACAGCGGCAGUUCCUCCUCCGCCUCGGCACGUCGCCAACUCCGGCGAGAAUCAUUCACCGCCGUCCACGCCGCUCGCUGCAUGUCUCGCCGUUCGCCGCUCACUCCCUCCGUCGAACGCCCUCCUCCGGAGAGUGCUCCCCUCUCGGCGGAGUCACAAUUUGAGGGGAAAGGCGUCGCCUUUCCCUUCGUCUCCCUCUCCGCCGCGCGUGGACAGCCGGUCCUUGUAGCGAUACUCGGGGUUCCGUCGGUGCCCGCUCUUCUCCGGACAGCCGUGGGUCUCGGCCUAAGCUAAGUCCUCUCCCCCCUUUCCCCCAUUGUUUCACCGUUAUUGAGUUAUGGCAGCGGCUAUGUGUAAUUUAUCAAUUGAUCAAAUGAAAGCUAUUUGACUUGUGGGGUUGAUUGUGAGGGCUCGGGAGGGAGCUUGAUGUCUCAACUUGUGGUUCACUGCUUGUCCGAAAUAUUGGCAUCCGGUUGUUAUGUUGUGAUUUUCUAGUUCUUCCGUUACCACCGUUGAUGAGGCUCCACCUAUGGUGAUUGCUUUUGUUACUGUGGUGUAUCCUAUUGAGUUUCUAUGUUCUUGGCUAUGUGUUGUGGUUGAUCUACAUGAUGCAAUACAUAUAUGGUGUUGAGGUGAUUACCUCGCUUGGGAUUCCUCUCGGUAUGGGCUGAUCCUUGCUUCAAGGUUUUCCCCUUGCUCCUCCUCCACUCCUUGCUGCACUCCUUGAGUUUGAGUGAAUUAUGGUGUCGAAUGGUGGGAGAGGAGAAGGGAGUUGAGGGCUGUUUAUAUACGUGCCUUGAGCCUUGUCAUUUUGCCUGAAAUCCUUGGAAAGUGGUAUGCUAUUUCGGGUUAAAACUCAGCUUGCUUUUGAGCUUUGUGAUAUUGUGGUUCACUCCAAAAUGGUAUAAGUUCUGGGGCUGCUCCCUUGGCAACUUCCUUACUUCCUCGGCUCUUAUGGAGGGACAAAGCAGUUUCUCUAUUUGUGCUUGUUGCUGAGAUCAUGAGACUUUUGUUCAAAAUGGUUCUAUUUCCAUUUUGUAAGAUCCUUGGCAGCCCCAAAUCGUCCCUAUGGGCAGCCUGUGUGUUGCUUACUCCAAGACCUUGCCCUCUUUUAUCAUGUCUCAUUCUCUCAUGCUUUAUUGUUCUUUGACCUCAUUCUAUUUUUUUGUGUAAUCUCUUUCGCAGGGGUGGCUGUCCAAGGGUGUCUUGGUUGGCGGUUUGGAGUCUUGUGGUUGUGGAAACGAGGAAGAAGAAAGGAGAAAGAGAAAGGAACGAAAUUCCGGGGCGUCACAUAUAGCCUCAGAUCUUCAAUAACAGCAGAUCUGAGCAAGGAAGUGGAAGAGGAUUUGGAGGAAGAUUUCAUAGGGGAGGCAGAGGUGGAAGAGGCCUUGGCAGAGGAAGCAACAAGAUCAUUUGUCAAUUGUGUGAAAAGCCUGGACAUUCUGCAGCAAAAUGUUGGCAUCGAUUUGAGCAGAAUUAUACUCCACCUCAAGUGCAAUUCAGAGGAAGCUCAGCACACCAACAGAAUCAAGGAUCUUUCAAUCCCUCAGCACAUCUGGUUUAAUUAGUGCCCAGAUCUCCAUCGGGUUCAUUCUCUGUUGGGACUCCCUCUGAAUUUAGCUAUGCCUCAAAUGCUUCUUCAAGCCGGUAUCCUGACUCAGGAGCAACACAUCAUGUUUCUAAUGAUUUGAGCAACCUCAACUUGAGCAAUGAGUAUACUGGAGGACCUGAGCACCAAGGAAGUUGUCCUCAAAGGAACGCUUGAAAGAGGCCUAUAUCAUUUCUUAGUAGAUCACUCUCCAAUCAAGCGAGGCAAAGUCCCCAUUUCCUAUUCCAGUUCAGACAUUCCAGCUGUUCACUCCUUGAGUUUGUCCAACUCUUCUUCCAGCAGCAGUUCUGAUCAUGUUUCUAGCUUAGAUUUGUCUCGAUGGCAUAAUAGACUAGGACAUCCUACUUUAGAUAUUGUCAAACUUGCUCUCAACAGAUGUAAUAUCCCUUUUAAUGCAAUGAAAGCUUCUGCACUUUGUUA